GUCGAGAAUCUUCCGCAAUGCGCGAAAGCGUGACGGAGCGACACCGCGUGAUGGAUGAAGUCCUUCGGGGCGUAAACAUCUUUUAUAAAGGAGGAAAUUUUUGACGUUACUUUAUGAAUAAGGGGCUCCCAAUCUCGUGCCAGCAGGAGCGGUAAUACGAGAGCCUCAAGCGUUAUCCGGAAUCAUUGGGCGUAAAGGGUGCGUAGGUGGUUUGAUUAGUCUCCCGUUAAAACUUCGAGCUUAACUCGAAAAGAGCGGGGGAAACGGUCAAACUAGAGUAUGUGAGAGGUGUGUGGAACUCAUGGUGUAGGGGUGAAAUCCGUUGAUAUCAUGGGGAACACCAAAAGCGAAGGCAGCACACUGGCACAUCACUGACACUGAGGCACGAAACCUAAGGUAGCGAAUGGGAUUAGAUACCCCGGUAGUCCC
RNAcentral lists this ribosomal RNA (429 nucleotides) under uncultured bacterium. RNAcentral's name for it is "partial 16S ribosomal RNA". It matches the Rfam family "Bacterial small subunit ribosomal RNA", at positions 354 to 797 of the family's 1533-position model. The record is from RNAcentral.